This 949-nucleotide long non-coding RNA is filed under the name Anolis carolinensis (green anole). RNAcentral describes it as "lncRNA (ENSACAG00000036265.1)". Lineage: Eukaryota; Metazoa; Chordata; Lepidosauria; Squamata; Anolidae. The record is from RNAcentral.
GUAUACACGUAGAUACAAAUAUACAGGUACAUGGAAAUCUCUAGAUAUCUAUAUGUUAUAUAGGAUUUGCAAAGACUUGCAAACAUAUGAGGGGGAAAUUCAUAUAUAAAGUUAAUGUAUAUAUAUGGAUAGAUACAAAUAUAAAGGUACAUAGGGAUUGCAAAGGCUUGCAGGGGGAAAUGCCUAUAUAUCUGUAGCAGAGAUUAACAAAUAUUUCAGGGGAAAAUGCUUUUAUAAGAUUAACUGGUAUAUAUAUAUUCUUCUUCCUGACUUGCGAAGGCUUCUUUCCCUUUUCAAAACAUUCCCUUGUUUAAAAGCGAGGGAGGCUUUGGAAAAGUAAACACUGAUAAGGGAGGGUAAGAUGAGAGAUAAAUAUGUCAUAUAUUGCAACUUUAUUGUAAAGGCUUUGGAAAAGAAAACACUGAUAAGGGAGAGUAAGAUGAGAGAUAAAUAUAUAACAUAUUGCAAGCAAUGGCCUCCAGGCUCCGCUGCCGGCUUGACCGUGACCCAAUUAUAAGCUGAGGGAGGCUUUUUCAGCUCACAAAUAAGGGCUGAAAAAGUCAGCUUAUCUUCAAGUAUAUACGGUAUGUAUAUUAUCCCCCUAUCUGUUUUACUUGUAUGCUUGAGACAUGAUACUUAAGGCAGGAUUAGACUUGGGGGAAGGAGACAUGAAAAAUGAAAGAACAGCAACAAUUUGAGGUAUGUGGAUGACACACAACUAUUAGCAGAAAAUACUAAAGACUUGGAACAACUACUGAAAAAAGGUGAAAAAGUGCAAAGGCAGGUUUACAGCUGAACACUAAAAAAACAAAAACAAUUACUAUGGAUGAUUUACAUAAUGUAGAUAAUGGAGACAGUUGAAUAAUUCAAGAUUUUCUAUAUUUUGACAUAUUAGUCAUUAAUCAGAAUAGAUAAUGUAACAAGAAAUUAGUAGACUAUAAAAAAAACU